GGGGAAAAGCUCAAAUUUUAAAUCUGCUAGGUUUUACCUAUCAGAAUUGUAAUUUGAAGAAGCGUUUUCACGUCUCAGUUAGCCCAAAUCCUUUGGGAUGAGGUAUCAUGGAGGGUGAGAAUCCCGU
Molecule: ribosomal RNA, 127 nt
Filed under: Glomus sp.
Lineage: Eukaryota; Fungi; Glomeromycota; Glomeromycetes; Glomerales; Glomeraceae
Description: partial large subunit ribosomal RNA
Source: RNAcentral